GAAGAACUUGAGCUGCGUGGGCUUUGUCAGCAUUGGUAAAGAUCUGCAAUGGCCAAUUCAGACAAAGUUAUGUGAAUAUACGAAUGAGGAUUGUAGGUUUGAAUUUCAACUUUUCAUAUCGCCUCACCUUUAACCCGGCCAUCGUUGUCCCAUAUUCCAUGUGCAUGUCCAAGCACAUUUGAGGCACUUCACUUUCCUCUAUUUGCAAAUGCUUCAACAUGAAUUCUACGUUCAUCAUCAACAAGAACAAUAUCAACAUUAUUGGUAAUUUGCUACGACUUAUGUUCUUUCCCAUUUCAAAUUAUCUACGUGUUGUAUCGUACCUUCAAUUUUCUUACGACAUGCUAGGUUAAGACCACAACUUCUUGGGUACAAAGUAUCGUCCAUAUCUGCACACACAUUUAUCAACUUCUUAAAAGAAGUUUCAAACGUUAAAA
Molecule: non-coding RNA, 437 nt
Organism: Momordica charantia (bitter melon)
Lineage: Eukaryota; Viridiplantae; Streptophyta; Magnoliopsida; Cucurbitales; Cucurbitaceae
Source: RefSeq, a predicted model, not a curated record